UACGUAGGGUGCAAGCGUUAAUCGGAAUUACUGGGCGUAAAGCGUGCGCAGGCGGUUAUGUAAGACAGAUGUGAAAUGCCCGGGCUUAACCUGGGAACUGCAUUUGUGACUGCAUGGCUAGAGUGUGUCAGAGGGGGGUAGAAUUCCACGUGUAGCAGUGAAAUGCGUAGAUAUGUGGAGGAAUACCGAUGGCGAAGGCAGCCCCCUGGGAUAACACUGACGCUCAUGCACGAAAGCGUGGGGAGCAAACAGG
This 253-nucleotide ribosomal RNA is filed under the name uncultured bacterium. RNAcentral's name for it is "partial 16S ribosomal RNA". It matches the Rfam family "Bacterial small subunit ribosomal RNA", at positions 524 to 776 of the family's 1533-position model. RNAcentral also lists the same sequence under 1 other name. The record is from RNAcentral.